This is a long non-coding RNA of Triticum dicoccoides, 304 nucleotides long. RefSeq lists it as uncharacterized. Lineage: Eukaryota; Viridiplantae; Streptophyta; Magnoliopsida; Poales; Poaceae. The transcript is spliced from 3 exons. The record is from RefSeq and is a predicted model, not a curated record.
AGAGAUGUUCUCCCAUCGCUAUUGGCUGUCAAAUUUGGGAUGCAAUCCGUCCGAAUGUCGACACAAUCAGCAGAACAAAGCAGCUACCAUGAUUUGCCCAUUGAUCUCUUGGAGUGAUUCAAACCUGCAAGCACCAGGAUUGAGUGACUCCUGCAUAUGAUGACUGAAGAAUUUUUCAUCAAUUUUCCAACCUGAAUUAGAUACAGAAUUUGGGAAAAGAGGAGUCCAGGCUCUAAUGAACACACCGUCUUUCCCAGAAACCACUUCAACUAGCCCAGGACUGUGUCUAUUAGUCCUCCGGUAU